UAUAUCAGAUGACGACCAAGCAACACCUUCCCACCAACAACUAGUAGGUACCAGUUUUCUUCUCUCCACAGGCCCCACAAACAAUGCAACUCCUCUUCAGACCAACUCUUUCAGAACCACGCAACCUGCGCUGAUUGAAGGCAUAAGAUGCUACACCGACGCCUCCACUUCUCCGGAUCAAGCCACUCACUCCUUCAGACCUGCUGGACUCGGCAUUUUCUUUCUCAUACCGCAGGAACAAGCAGCAAGAUCUAUCUUCAUGAAGGCAACAGUGGCCGAAUGUUCACUCUGUCUUCAUGGCAGAGGCAGCUGCUCUAGCUCUAGCUGCAACUAUUGCUCAGGCUCUUCACUUUCCCAAUGUUAACUUUCUAUCAGAUUCACAAUAAUUAGUACAACCUCUCAACUCCAGCAACCAGGAAAACCUUCUAGAUUGGAGAGCCAAGCCUUUUACUCAGAUCUACAGGAAUUCCCUUCCUCAAAUCAACGGCAAGAUCCUAAAAAUUCACAGGCUUACAUAUGGCCGCUGCAUCAGAGUAGUGUCCUAAAUGCCUUGGUCCUGAUACGAGCUAGUGUGGUACUCAACUGCCAACGCAUGCUGUGGAUUAGACUGCAAUUGGCAAGUGCACAUUCAUUUCUCCGUGCAAUAUAUUAAGCGAGGCAGGAAUGAACCAUUCGAAGCUCAGAUGCAUAACAGUUCAGUAGAAUUUCCUCAACUUCAGUGCUGAACCAUACCAAGAUGAUGCAAAGGCAGAAAAAAAAACUAUGAUACAAGUGUGUGUCUGAAACUAUGCAAUUUCAGUUCCCAAAAAUUCCUAUUUGCACAUUCUAUUGCAAAUUUCAGUACUGAUUUGCUGUGAUAAGCUAUCACAUGUAGGGAAAGUCAGAAAAGUAUGUGAGCAUUCGCGUUUGUUUUUGUCAAAUUACCAGAGUACAACAACUAAUGGGGGAGGGAAAAAACAUAUCAUAUGGUUUCUUGUCACAGAACAAUGUAUGAAAACAACCCAGUUGCGAGCAAAUCGUACACUGUUAAGUGAGAAGUCCAAAUAAGGAACCAAAGAUCUCGGGACAGAUCAAUUUUUGGCUUAUCUUUCUGAUGAUGGUGUCCUCAGUUCCACCUUGUCCUUUACUUAAAAAAAAAAUCAUCUUGUCCUGAUUUUGCUUAUGCUAGUCAACCAUGACUUGGUACAGCACCAAGUGGCAGAGCCAUGAAAUUAUUAGGGUUAAUUGGAUUUGUACCAUUACAAUUUUGCAAGUUCAUUGAUCUACCAUUACAAUUCACCUAUUUGGAGAUAUACCAUUACAAUUCGUUAUUUGCUUCGGAUGUGCCAUUUUGUACGUAUUUGAUUUUCUUGGACGCACGUGCAGGCUCUGGUAUAUCCGUAUGGACAAAAAUACCCACGCUCCAUCUCUUUCCUCCGUUCACUUGCUCAUGGGCCCCACAUGUCACCAGCUUCUUCCAUUUCCUCCCCAAUCCACUUCUUCUGUUGGAGCCUCACGCGUGCACCGCCGCCGUCAUGCUCCGUGCUCCGCACCAUUCGUGGUCACCGCCCGGCCUGACCCUGCGCGGGCAUCGCUGCUGCCGCUCUUCAAUCCUCGACUGGAUGAUGUCGCGGGCGUGGAGGCAGGCGAAGCCCGCGCCGUCGCCGACGCCGUCGAGCUACUGCGCGCACCCGCCGCCCAACCCUGCAUCCCGCUCCCAGUCCCCUCCCAAGCAGGAGCAGCACGGCCGCGAGCAGCGCAGACACCACGACAACCGCCAGAACCAUCCGUGGCCGCAAACUGUCCGGACCCAAAAGUCUCCUGCGUCACCUCGAUCUCCUCUUGCUCUGCUCCACCCGCCGAGCCGGAUUGCACUAUCCGCUCGCCUUGAUCUCCUCUUUCUCUCUCUUCCCCUUGGGCGCGCUGAUGCAGGCGAGGAGCCCCAGCAGCAUCCUCUUGCUCUCUGUCUUGUCCAUGGUGGCGGAGCGAUCGGAGCAGGUGGAUCUCGCCGUGUAGACGCGCUCCAACUUGCCAAGGCUCCAUAGAAAGUCAUGCACCUGCACCCGUUCCACGCCACCUCCAUGCCAAGAAUCUCGUUGUACUGCAGGCGCGGAAAACAGAGUAGGGGAAGAAGAUUAGCACGAGAGCAAGGUGAAGA
Long non-coding RNA from Panicum virgatum (switchgrass), 2137 nucleotides. RefSeq lists it as uncharacterized. The record is from RefSeq and is a predicted model, not a curated record. The transcript has 3 exons. Lineage: Eukaryota; Viridiplantae; Streptophyta; Magnoliopsida; Poales; Poaceae.